AAAACCUUACCUACCCUUGACAUGUCAGAAACUUGGCAGAGAUGCCUUGGCGCCCGAAAGGGAAUCUGAACACAGGUGCUGCAUGGCUGUCGUCAGCUCGUGUCGUGAGAUGUUGGGUUAAGUCCCGCAACGAGCGCAACCCUUGUCGUUAAUUGCCAUCAUUUAGUUGGGCACUUUAACGAGACUGCCGGUGACAAACCGGAGGAAGGUGGGGAUGACGUCAAGUCCUCAUGGCCCUUAUGGGUAGGGCUUCACACGUCAUACAAUGGUCGGUACAGAGGGUUGCCAAGCCGCGAGGUGGAGCCAAUCCCAGAAAGCCGAUCGUAGUCCGGAUUGCAGGCUGCAACUCGCCUGCAUGAAGUCGGAAUCGCUAGUAAUCGCGGAUCAGCAUGUCGCGGUGAAUACGUUCCCGGGUCUUGUACACACCGCCCGUCACACCAUGGGAGCGGGUUCCGCCAGAAGUAGGUAGCCUAACCGCAAGGGGGGCGCUUACCACGGCGGGGUUCGUGACUGGGGUGAAGUCGUAACAAGGUAGCCGUAGGGGAACCUGCGGCUGGAUCACCUCC
Molecule: ribosomal RNA, 566 nt
Filed under: uncultured Dechloromonas sp.
Lineage: Bacteria; Pseudomonadati; Pseudomonadota; Betaproteobacteria; Rhodocyclales; Azonexaceae
Description: bacterial SSU rRNA
Rfam family: Bacterial small subunit ribosomal RNA
Source: RNAcentral